Molecule: unclassified non-coding RNA, 334 nt
Filed under: Hevea brasiliensis (rubber tree)
Lineage: Eukaryota; Viridiplantae; Streptophyta; Magnoliopsida; Malpighiales; Euphorbiaceae
Source: RNAcentral
GGUAAUGUAGAUUACAGCAUGCCAAAUUUAAAGCAAAUCGAAUAAUUAAAGAUUCUCAUCUAAUACAUCUUAAUGCUGAACAUUUUAUUAAAUAUACUUAUAAUUCAAAAACAAAUUGUGCGUCAUAGAUAAAACACUUAUUCAUAUUAGACUAAAUAGAAAUUGGGCCAAUAUGAUUUACGUGUAUAUAAUAGUAAUCCAACCAUCAACAUGUAAAUCAUACAAAAGUUAUAGAACUGUAUAAAAACACUGUUAAAUUACACACAUAUUGACAUAUAUAAUGUGCCUAUUACCACUAUAAAUCAAAUUGUGUUGCAUAAAAUAGAAAACUUAC